Molecule: long non-coding RNA, 766 nt
Filed under: Pogona vitticeps (central bearded dragon)
Lineage: Eukaryota; Metazoa; Chordata; Lepidosauria; Squamata; Agamidae
Description: lncRNA (ENSPVIG00000014291.1)
Source: RNAcentral
AGUCCUUCAAAGCUGCUGUGCUGGACUGUCCAAUGAUGAUACAGAAACAGGCCGUCUGGUUUCUUUUCAUGAGGCUGUAACAUGUAGAUCAAAAGUAGAAGCAGCCAAACUGAGAUUUGGGCUGCUGUUCUCUUUCGGGGGGACAUUUGUGAACCUCUGUCUGAAUUCUCAGCCCACCUUUCUUCCAGUAGCCAACUCAAGCCGUGCCUGCCGGCUGAAGACCUCCGGCGUCUGCUGGAUCUCAUCACCGGUUGCCUGUUCCCAAUCCCCUGGAGCGCCUGAAAAAGAGGACCAGGACGGAGCAGGAGGCUUCCGAUAUAGAGCUGAUGGAGCCCUGGCUGACACGAUCAGAGUGGAUCCGAGAGAGGGUCCUGCAGGCCAGUUGCCAGGUGCUGGCUGCCUUCCAGGCCACGGCGAGUCUUCCGGUGAGUUUCCCUCCUCUUCCUCCUCCUCCUCCUCCUCCUCCUCCAGAGGACCAUGUGGCCCCAAUCCCCCUAUUAAGACAGGCUCCCUGGAAGCCUCUCAUCUGUUUCUUUUAAGUUUGGCUCAGUGAAUAUAGACCAGCCUUUUCCCAGCCUGGUGGCCUCUUUAGAAUAAUUAUUUCACCUAUUAAUGACUUACCCUACGUGGUCUCCGACAUUGGAUCAGAGGAGACAAAUGUGAGAAAACUCUUCCUGAGUGCGAUGGGACCACAGCUGUCUAGAUGAAGUGGCUGCCUUUUGUCUGAGGGGUGCAAGUAAUUCUUGCUCCGCUCUUGGGCUACCUC